Episyrphus balteatus (marmalade hoverfly) is the source of this 342-nucleotide long non-coding RNA. RefSeq lists it as uncharacterized. The record is from RefSeq and is a predicted model, not a curated record. The transcript is spliced from 2 exons. Lineage: Eukaryota; Metazoa; Arthropoda; Insecta; Diptera; Syrphidae.
AACGUCACUUUUUGAAUAAUUCAUUGAAUUUCGCACUUGAAAGAUUCGUUUGAGUAAAAAUUUUGUUCCCGCUUUUAAUUAGAUUUAUUACUAAGCAAUAUGUCAUCUUAAUCAAAAGGAAAUGGAUAAAUUUAUUGAAAAUAACAUUCUUAAUGCUGAAGAAAAUAUGAAAAUGACGAGUCUUGAUAAAAUUGAAACCAAGUGGAAACCUUUGGAAUUAUCUAUUCCAAUUUUGUUUUGGAUUGAUUUUCAUUUAAUUGUUGGAUUAUUAAUGAUGAUUGUUUACUUUUCAUUUUUACUGUUUGAUUAAUAAUAAUUUGUGUAAAUUGCACAAUGCUAUAA